ACAGCAGCAGCCGCGGGAAUACGAAGGGGGCUAGCGUUGCUCGGGAUUACUGGGCGUAAAGGGAGCGUAGGCGGACAUUUAAGUCAGGGGUGAAAUCCCAGAGCUCAACUCUGGAACUGCCUUUGAUACUGGUGUCUUGAGUGUGAUAGAGGUAUGUGGAACUCCGAGUGUAGAGGUGAAAUUCGUAGAUAUUCGGAAGAACACCAGUGGCGAAGGCGACAUACCGGAUCAUUACUGACGCUGAGGCUCGAAAGCGUGGGGAGCAAACAGGAUUAGAUACCCGCGUAGUCCCUGUCUCUUAUACA
RNAcentral lists this ribosomal RNA (305 nucleotides) under uncultured bacterium. RNAcentral describes it as "partial 16S ribosomal RNA". It matches the Rfam family "Bacterial small subunit ribosomal RNA", at positions 505 to 808 of the family's 1533-position model. The record is from RNAcentral.